AUGGUGGCGGCUGUGUUUAUGAUCGUCCUUGCCAUUGGAGCGCCCAUGCGGCGUCAUUGUAAGAGCAUAGUUAUCAGAUAUGGAGUUGAGGGAGUGCUCUUACUGUCCUUUCCACUUCUCUCCUACACACUAGGAUUGAUGCAUCUUUCUGAUGCAGAGGCUGGGGAAAACCCCCUUUUCGAAGAAAAAAAAGGAUUGAUGCAGCAGCAGCUAAUCAAGAACGGACUUUUCCUAGUGUGGGCGAUGUUUCUGGCCAUGCUUUAUUUUGGGGGUACCAUGGCAAUAUCAGUCCAGAAGCUUGGUGAGAACAGCACGAUGAAGCUCAAAUGCGACAUUUUCUUGUCCAUGUUCUACAUGGGCAUUGUUUUAGGCAACUUUGCUUUUGCCGCUAAGGACCUUCUUGGGCGCAUUGGUUUAGUCAUGACCUUUAUUUUUGUGUGGACAUGGGCAACGAGAAUCGAUUACCACAUUGAUGCUGCAUCCUUAGCGAGCAAACCAACGGCAGAGAAUGGCAUCAAGUGGCUGGCCGACUACAUGAAGCGUGAGCACCAAACCAGCACGUCCUACAACCCCCGCACCAUGCAGGGAUACAAGUAUCCAGUUCUCAUACACAAUGCAACGGGAAAUAGCUAUUCUCCAGUAACACUUGAUAAAAUUUGGUGCGACAACAUCGGUGUCUUGUCAUCUUCCAACAGUCCUCAUAUCCGUCGCCUCAAAGAUCUAUGUCUCUCAUUUGCUCUGUUCCAUCUUGUGGUUCGGCGAUACUUCGGUUACAGCUGUCCUGAAUCUAAGCUUGACAAGUCUCGUGCUCUUGUUCUUGAUGGACUGCUGCAAACAGAACAAGACUAUGAAAGAGCAUUCCAAGUGAUUGAAGCAGAGCUUGCUUUUCUAUAUGACUUCUUCUUCACCAAGUAUGCUGCCAUUAUGUAUGGAAGUAAGAAGUACUAUUGUGCUACCUCAUUUGCCAUCACAGUUGUCUGUAUUGGUGUGGGUACAUGGGCUAUUAGUGUUUCCAACAAGCAAGUUUCUAUUUUGGAUGAUCUCUUGGUCGAAACCAGCACAUGUGACGUUGUGGUAACCGUAGCAGCCUUGGUUGCACUGUCACUAUUCGAGCUGUUGCAGAUAUGUUCUUAUUUUGCCUCCGACUGGUCAAAAGUAUCCUUGGUUUGUACGUAUGCAACAAAUCCAUCCUGGCAAAAAAAUGACCGAAUAAAGAAGGUUCUUUUGCUUCUAGGGAGACCUCACCGCUGGCUUCACUAUUGGCGCAACACCAUUGGCCAGUACUCAGUCCUUGAUUCCUUCAGCUCCAGUUCUUGGGAUCGGUUGAAGCAACGCUUUCAGAGUAGGAAGACCGGCAAUCCUGUAGAGUUGCAAAUGGAGGUGAAGAAGGCAGUCGCACGGGUUAUCAAGAACUCAAUCAACGGGCAUCUAUCAAAUGGAGCAUCGGCGUUGAUGAGACAUGGCAUGAGUGAUGAGCUAUGCUGGGCAUGUCAGACUGACGAUGAAUUUACUCUCACUCACAGCAUAUUGGUAUGGCAUGUCGCGACUGGCUACUGCGAGAUCGAAACAAUCGCAGGCCCCAAUGAAAAUGAUAUGCAUCCAAACCGAGGUGUCGCCACUAGCUUGUCCAAGUAUGUCGCAUACUUGGUAGCUUGUGCUCCGACGUUGCUACCAGGCCGUCUGAUAGUUUCAGAGUGUACGCUUGACGAGCUGGAGGCACAAGCAAAGAAAACUCUUCAAGGACUCGUAUCACCAAGGGAGAGGUAUGAAAAGCUUAGAGAACUGUACAAUGUCGUUGAUGAAGUUCCGUCAAGCGUAGCGGAUGCAACUGCUGCAACAGAGGCAACGUCCGCGCAUCUGUUGAGCAAGGGUGUCAGGCUAGGGAAGUUGUUGGAGAGCAUGGAGAAUCACAUGAUCCGUUGGGAACUAUUGGCCGAUUUCUGGGCAGAGAUGCUGGUGUAUAUCGCCCCGUCUGAUAAUGUGGCUGGUCACAUUGAACUUCUUGCUGAAGGUGGCGAGUUUGUGACCCACAUCUGGGUGCUGCUUAUGCAUGCUGGCAUCCUGGAGCGGCCUGCUACUGCAAUACCCUAG
RNAcentral lists this ribosomal RNA (2091 nucleotides) under Triticum aestivum (bread wheat). RNAcentral's name for it is "partial small subunit ribosomal RNA". The record is from RNAcentral. Lineage: Eukaryota; Viridiplantae; Streptophyta; Magnoliopsida; Poales; Poaceae.